Molecule: unclassified non-coding RNA, 307 nt
Filed under: Hevea brasiliensis (rubber tree)
Lineage: Eukaryota; Viridiplantae; Streptophyta; Magnoliopsida; Malpighiales; Euphorbiaceae
Source: RNAcentral
GACCAAUAAAUUUUGGAGAAAUUAAAUAUAGCAAUAUUUAUAAAUUUUGUUCUUAUAAAUUUGGGUCUUAAGAACAAAAUUGAAACUCGUAUUUUUAGUUUUAGAACUCCAAAAAAAGGCUAGCCAGGGGGCAAUAUAAGGGCAAAAUUUUCAUAUACGGCUUGAUGUAAUGACCAAGAAUGAAUUUUAUUAUCUCUAACAGAUAUAGCCCCUAGGCUGGUAUUUUUUUGGAGGGAGUUUAGCCCAACAUUUCUGGCUGAUAAGUAUUAUUAAUAUUAGCAAGAUAUAUAUACUUAACCCUACCAUG